This 1412-nucleotide ribosomal RNA is filed under the name Enterococcus durans. RNAcentral describes it as "bacterial SSU rRNA". It matches the Rfam family "Bacterial small subunit ribosomal RNA". Lineage: Bacteria; Bacillati; Bacillota; Bacilli; Lactobacillales; Enterococcaceae. The record is from RNAcentral.
CGUACGCUUCUUUUUCACCGGAGCUUGCUCCACCGGAAAAAGAAGAGUGGCGAACGGGUGAGUAACACGUGGGUAACCUGCCCAUCAGAAGGGGAUAACACUUGGAAACAGGUGCUAAUACCGUAUAACAAUCGAAACCGCAUGGUUUUGAUUUGAAAGGCGCUUUCGGGUGUCGCUGAUGGAUGGACCCGCGGUGCAUUAGCUAGUUGGUGAGGUAACGGCUCACCAAGGCUACGAUGCAUAGCCGACCUGAGAGGGUGAUCGGCCACAUUGGGACUGAGACACGGCCCAAACUCCUACGGGAGGCAGCAGUAGGGAAUCUUCGGCAAUGGACGAAAGUCUGACCGAGCAACGCCGCGUGAGUGAAGAAGGUUUUCGGAUCGUAAAACUCUGUUGUUAGAGAAGAACAAGGAUGAGAGUAACUGUUCAUCCCUUGACGGUAUCUAACCAGAAAGCCACGGCUAACUACGUGCCAGCAGCCGCGGUAAUACGUAGGUGGCAAGCGUUGUCCGGAUUUAUUGGGCGUAAAGCGAGCGCAGGCGGUUUCUUAAGUCUGAUGUGAAAGCCCCCGGCUCAACCGGGGAGGGUCAUUGGAAACUGGGAGACUUGAGUGCAGAAGAGGAGAGUGGAAUUCCAUGUGUAGCGGUGAAAUGCGUAGAUAUAUGGAGGAACACCAGUGGCGAAGGCGGCUCUCUGGUCUGUAACUGACGCUGAGGCUCGAAAGCGUGGGGAGCAAACAGGAUUAGAUACCCUGGUAGUCCACGCCGUAAACGAUGAGUGCUAAGUGUUGGAGGGUUUCCGCCCUUCAGUGCUGCAGCUAACGCAUUAAGCACUCCGCCUGGGGAGUACGACCGCAAGGUUGAAACUCAAAGGAAUUGACGGGGGCCCGCACAAGCGGUGGAGCAUGUGGUUUAAUUCGAAGCAACGCGAAGAACCUUACCAGGUCUUGACAUCCUUUGACCACUCUAGAGAUAGAGCUUCCCCUUCGGGGGCAAAGUGACAGGUGGUGCAUGGUUGUCGUCAGCUCGUGUCGUGAGAUGUUGGGUUAAGUCCCGCAACGAGCGCAACCCUUAUUGUUAGUUGCCAUCAUUCAGUUGGGCACUCUAGCAAGACUGCCGGUGACAAACCGGAGGAAGGUGGGGAUGACGUCAAAUCAUCAUGCCCCUUAUGACCUGGGCUACACACGUGCUACAAUGGGAAGUACAACGAGUCGCGAAGUCGCGAGGCUAAGCUAAUCUCUUAAAGCUUCUCUCAGUUCGGAUUGUAGGCUGCAACUCGCCUACAUGAAGCCGGAAUCGCUAGUAAUCGCGGAUCAGCACGCCGCGGUGAAUACGUUCCCGGGCCUUGUACACACCGCCCGUCACACCACGAGAGUUUUAACACCCGAAGUCGGUGAGGUAACCUUUGGAGCC